UCCGGUUUGUCACCGGCAGUCUCAUUAGAGUGCUCAACUGAAUGUAGCAACUAAUGACAAGGGUUGCGCUCGUUGCGGGACUUAACCCAACAUCUCACGACACGAGCUGACGACAGCCAUGCAGCACCUGUGUUACGGCUCUCUUUCGAGCACGCCCCGAUCUCUCGAGGCUUCCGUACAUGUCAAGGGUAGGUAAGGUUUUUCGCGUUGCAUCGAAUUAAUCCACAUCAUCCACCGCUUGUGCGGGUCCCCGUCAAUUCCUUUGAGUUUUAAUCUUGCGACCGUACUCCCCAGGCGGUCAACUUCACGCGUGAGCUGCGUUACCAAGUCAAUUAAGACCCGACAACUAGUUGACAUCGUUUAGGGCGUGGACUAC
RNAcentral lists this unclassified non-coding RNA (376 nucleotides) under uncultured Gammaproteobacteria bacterium. Its description in RNAcentral is "contains 16S-23S intergenic spacer region". The record is from RNAcentral. Lineage: Bacteria; Pseudomonadati; Pseudomonadota; Gammaproteobacteria.